Molecule: microRNA precursor, 98 nt
Filed under: Equus caballus (horse)
Lineage: Eukaryota; Metazoa; Chordata; Mammalia; Perissodactyla; Equidae
Description: mir-544 microRNA precursor family
Rfam family: mir-544 microRNA precursor family
Source: Rfam by way of RNAcentral
AUCACUGGGGGAUCUUGUUAAAAUACAGAUUCUGAUUCAGUAGGUCUAGGAUGAGGCUUGAGAUUCUGCAUUUCUAGCAAGCUCCCAGGUGAGCGCAU